CCUACGGGCGGCAGCAGUGAGGAAUAUUGGUCAAUGGGCUUACGCCUGAACCAGCCGAGUCGCGUGAGGGAAGACUGCCCUAUGGGUUGUAAACCUCUUUUGCCGGGGGACAAAAGGCCGGACUCGUCCGGUCCUGAGGGUCCCCGGAGAAAAAGCAUCGGCUAACUCCGUGCCAGCAGCCGCGGUAAUACGGAGGAUGCGAGCGUUAUCCGGAUUCAUUGGGUUUAAAGGGUGCGCAGGCGGGCCUUUAAGCCGGCGGUGAAAUCGCGGGGCUCAACCCCGCCGAGCCGUCGGAACUGGGGGCCUUGAGUGCGGCGGAGGCAUGCGGAAUGCGCGGUGUAGCGGUGAAAUGCAUAGAUAUCGCGCAGAACCCCGAUUGCGAAGGCAGCGUGCCGUGCCGCCACUGACGCUGAGGCACGAAAGCGCGGGGAUCGAACAGGAUUAGAUACCCUUGUAGUC
Molecule: ribosomal RNA, 459 nt
Filed under: uncultured bacterium
Lineage: Bacteria
Description: partial 16S ribosomal RNA
Rfam family: Bacterial small subunit ribosomal RNA
Source: RNAcentral